AACGAACGCUGGCGGCAGGCUUAACACAUGCAAGUCGAGCGCCCCGCAAGGGGCGCGGCCGACGGGUGAGUAACGCGUGGGAACGUACCUUUUGGUUCGGAACAACUCCGGGAAACUGGAGCUAAUACCGGAUAAGCCCUAACGGGGAAAGAUUUAUCGCCGAAAGAUCGGCCCGCGUCUGAUUAGCUAGUUGGUGAGGUAACGGCUCACCAAGGCGACGAUCAGUAGCUGGUCUGAGAGGAUGAUCAGCCACACUGGGACUGAGACACGGCCCAGACUCCUACGGGAGGCAGCAGUGGGGAAUAUUGGACAAUGGGCGCAAGCCUGAUCCAGCCAUGCCGCGUGAGUGAUGAAGGCCUUAGGGUUGUAAAGCUCUUUUGUCCGGGAAGAUAAUGACUGUACCGGAAGAAUAAGCCCCGGCUAACUUCGUG
Molecule: ribosomal RNA, 431 nt
Filed under: uncultured bacterium
Lineage: Bacteria
Description: partial 16S ribosomal RNA
Rfam family: Bacterial small subunit ribosomal RNA
Source: RNAcentral